UUUUCGUCUUCCUUUUAGUUUGAUGUAUGUCUCCACAGUCCUGUUUUUGUUACCAACUUUGAACUUCCGUAAAUCUCAAAUUUUGUUUUGGUUCGCGGAGCAACUGUUUUUCGAAGCCUCAUAUUGUGGUAAAUUGCUCGAAAUAUGGA
Molecule: long non-coding RNA, 149 nt
Organism: Octopus sinensis (East Asian common octopus)
Lineage: Eukaryota; Metazoa; Mollusca; Cephalopoda; Octopoda; Octopodidae
Exons: 3
Source: RefSeq, a predicted model, not a curated record